Molecule: ribosomal RNA, 805 nt
Filed under: Rhinella festae (Valle Santiago beaked toad)
Lineage: Eukaryota; Metazoa; Chordata; Amphibia; Anura; Bufonidae
Description: partial 16S ribosomal RNA
Rfam family: Bacterial large subunit ribosomal RNA
Source: RNAcentral
UCAUAAUCCUUUAUYAGAUACUGAGUAAUUCUAUAKAUUAUAGAAUAUUUUAUGUUGAAACUAGUAACAAGAAAAGACUUUCUCUUUAAUGUAAGUGKAAAUCAAAAAGGACAAGCCACUGAUAUUUAACAUCACUAAACCRAAAGUAAAAACUCACCAAGAAAACCCUACUYUYAUUUAUGUUAACCUAACACAAGAGCAUUACAAGAAAGAUUAAAAGAAAAAGAAGGAACUCGGCAAAUAUUAACCUCGCCUGUUUACCAAAAACAUCGCCUCUUGAAYCCUAUAAGAGGUCCAGCCUGCCCAGUGACUUUGUUUAACGGCCGCGGUAUCCUAACCGUGCAAAGGUAGCGUAAUCACUUGUUCUUUAAAUAAGGACUUAGUAUGAAUGGCAUCACGAAGGUUAUACUGUCUCCUUUUUCUAAUCAGUGAAACUAAUCUUCCCGUGAAGAAGCGGGAGUAUAAAUAUAAGACGAGAAGACCCUAUGGAGCUUAAAAUGAUUCAACAAAACAUUAUAAAUUUCAGAAAGCAAUAUGAUUGUAAAUUUUUGGUUGGGGUGACCACGGAGAAUAGCAUAACCUCCAUGUUGAAAGAGUCUCUAAGCUGAGAAUUAUAUAUCUAAGCAUCAACACACUGACAUUCCUUGACCCAAUAUAAUUGACCAACGAACCAAGUUACCCUAGGGAUAACAGCGCAAUCUACUUCAAGAGCUCCUAUCGACAAGUGGGUUUACGACCUCGAUGUUGGAUCAGGGUAUCCNUAGUGGUGUAGCCGCUANUNAAGGUYCGANYCUCAANGGGUAAA